GAGAGAGGUGAUACACGAUAAGAACUGCUAACUCCUAUAUCUGAGGUUAACUGCCCCAGCUCCCUCA
Molecule: transfer RNA, 67 nt
Filed under: Batagur dhongoka (three-striped roofed turtle)
Lineage: Eukaryota; Metazoa; Chordata; Testudines; Geoemydidae
Description: tRNA-Ser
Source: RNAcentral